CUUCUGUUCACCAGCACUAUGGCAAAACAGCGGGGCGAGGCGUCAAGACUUACACAGAUAACUACAAAUUCCUUGGCCUGGAUAAUGUUCCGCUGGAGAAAUGAGACAAGCUUCGUCUCCAUGCGAAACUACGACGAGCUGCUGCUGUUGUUGUUGUUGGGAUGCUUGCUGGAAUUGUUCGAAAGGAGGAAAUAUCAUGCUGUUCGGACCGCUACAAUCCAGUGUAUCGUCAAUGCCGUUGUCAGCGAGCUGUCAAGUGAAAAAGACUAGGAGAAAUGAAAUAUGAAGACGGACGGUUGACAGUAUUGAGGUGGGUAAGGAUGGGAGGAGAAUGGGUCGGACAUUUUUUUUUUUUUACACUUUUGGCGGGGUUUCAAGGAUCAAGAUGAAGGAAGGAUGUGAAGGGGAAAAGGAUAUAGAAUGGAGAGACAUCCGUCCGACAUCAUUGAUGAUCAUAUAUUUUAUAUCAGAGGCUAACUUCUCACAUCUAAUGCAUAUAGACAACAGGUCCUGGAAAUGGCACUCGGCGCCCGACAAAGUGGAUCAGAUAUACGGGCGAUGGGCGCAAAAUGUCUUAACGAAUGAUGGAAGCUGUCGUCAAAAAGCGGGAAGUCACAACAACAAACGACGAGCAACGAGCGACAAGACAACAUGAUCAACAUCACUCACGCUGCAUCGCAAUACUCGAGCACAUGACGAUCAAUGGCUUCCAUCUUUUCAUCGCAUUUCAUUCCAAGUCAGAUUAUGAUCUACGCACGACUGCCCAACGCCCAACAUAUUUUGAAAUGGCUACACCUUAAUCGCUGAAUAUACAGAUCACCUCAAAGGGCCCUUCCUUUGGUCUGUUCCUGACCCCUGUGCUAUUGCUAUUAUCCUCAACCCCUGGUACCUAUAAGCUCGAAUAUCACGGUAUCGGGCAUUCGCCCAUCGUGACCCAUUUUGCUCAACACAUCCUUCCCUUCUUUUCUUUCCUGGCGGACUCUGAAAUUUACUGAUCAGUUGACAUAAGGACAAAGGCUGGAAAAGGAAUAGGGGAAAUAGGUGAUGGGCGAAUAGACGGCAUGUAGAAUGAUGACAUCAGGCACUGAUCCCAUCAGAUUCCUUCUAUGGGCGAUAGAUAACCUCAACGGAUCGACAAAGCGAUGGACAGCAAUCAACUUGGAUGAUUCGACGCUUGAUGCACGGCCUGAUCCCGAAAUCAUCAAAUUGUGUCUCUGUGCCUACUGCUAGCCAUCAUCCAUCAGCCAUGCGGCAUGCGGCAUGAUACGAUUAACAGAUGGCAUAGCAGAGAUCAGACCUUCCACGUUCAAGUUCAGAAUGCCGUGGAACUUUUGAUUAUCCCCGAAACCGAGAUCCAUCUCAGCGACCAUCUCCCACAUAUUACCAGUCAUGUAUUCUCUCUCCACUGCUUCAUCAGACUCUGGAGCACCGUCUUUACGCCUCUCUCGCACUCUUCAACACCACCCCGUUCACUUUCCCAGAAAACAUCUUCAUUCCUCUUCUCUUCCCUUCCCCUCCUGGUGCACCUCCAAACGCCCUCUUCUUCGCUGAUGCACCGCUGCUAAACCCAAAGUCGAGACCAUCAUCCUCCUGCGCGGAAGAGACAGGAGAAGAUGACCGGUGGACAGAGGAUGGCUUGGGUGCGAAAGGAUUGGAGCGCGUAGUACGUUCUUGUACCUGGGUAGCGGCAACAGGGGAGGACAUUGGUGGGGCUAAAGAUGGUUGUGAAGGUUGGGAAUUGGGAUGUCCAAUGGGUGGGGAUGGUUUUCCAGGUGUUGAUAUGGAAGACGAUAUACUUGUAUUGCCACGACUAGGAGUCUUGCCCACCAGCCGAGAGUGUGGGGCAAAGGGAGAAGGUUUCUUCGGCGGAGGAGGCAAGGGACGCGCAGAGCCAGUGUACUUGCGGGGAUAGUACUUGCUGGCGAAGGGUUUCGAAGUGUAUGGCUUUUUAAAUGGAUUCUGAGAAUCGUCUGAUGCUCGGGAAAUACUUGACGAUGAUCCUGUGGAUGGGACCGUGGUGGUAGUGCUUGAAGGAUCAACUACAUAACGUUCCAUUCGACGCCGGACAAUUUCUUCGCUCCCCGUACUCGUCUGUGUUGGAAGAACAUUACCGUCCGUCGGUCCAGAUGUCCUAACCCGACCUGGCGCUUGCGCAUUGGCAGUCGCUUUGUUCGCUUCUCCUGCCUGCCUCAAUGCCUCUCUCACACUUUCCGUCGCCUGCAUAAUAUCACCCACCAUCUUCCCCCUCUUCUCCGCCAUUUGCCCUUCCCUCGCCCAAUUCGUCUCUUUCGUCCGCAUCCCCAUCUGUGUCUGAGCAAGCGAGUUGGCUGUGGUGUAUGUGAGCCGGAACCAUUGGUCAUGGACCACGCGGACAAGCAUGAGUCGCCGGUCACCUUCACCUUGACCCCGCGCAUUUGCUUGGGUUGCCUCGGCCCUUAACGUGGGUUGGGCGUUUGAAUAUGUAGAGGUAGAAGCAGAAGCGGCCGAAUAGAAGUUCUUUGCCUGGCCAUCGGCAUCGUCCCACCAUUCUCCUGCUUGGGCUGCUGCAGCAGCGCCAGCAGCCUUUGCUUUUGGGGCCUUGCUAGGUUUUUUCUCCUUGUGCAGUUUACCAGCCAAAUGCGCUUGCCCUUUUCUCACUUCCUGCAUCGUUCCGUUGAGUUUUUUGGAGAUUGUCCGUUUCCGUUUUUCCGCCGGGGUCGGGUCCUCCUCUUCCAUUUCAGAGAAGACAUCUUCAUGAGACGGAGAUGAAAGAUCGGAAAGAGAAACGGAUGUACCGAAUGGUUGAAAAUCACCAUCUUCGUCGACGCAGCUUGAAAGAUUAGAGCCAUAGAUGAAACCGAAGCCUGGAAUGUAGGACUUGCCUCUCGUCGGCACUGAGCUGGAUGAUGGGACAGUCCGAGAUGAAGGCGGAAGGAACUUGUCGGGUAUGGGCCUUGAAGUUGAAGUGAUAUUCAAUGAGACGAGAUCAGACUUUUCGUUGGGGAGUUUGAUAAGGGUCAAACACAGGCUUGAGAUAAUAUCGGCUGGCGGGAGAUUUGAAGCAAAGAGUGGGACGAGGCCGUCGUUACAAGCUUGAAAUUUCGGGUUCUGCCCUGAGAAAACGGCUUGGGAUGUGCGGUUGAUAACGGCGAUGGAAGUUUCGGUACAGGAUGUAUCUCUCAGAUCUGUAGAAAUGAGUGUCAGCGAUGAAUAAUAGAGAAGGGAAAACAGGACUCGCCCAAGGCUACUAGUCCCGGCCACCUAGCGAAGACUUUUGCACUUCUAUCGCUAACAUUCC
This 3277-nucleotide small RNA is filed under the name Cryptococcus neoformans H99. Its description in RNAcentral is "Cryptococcus neoformans var. grubii H99 hypothetical RNA". Lineage: Eukaryota; Fungi; Basidiomycota; Tremellomycetes; Tremellales; Cryptococcaceae. The record is from RNAcentral.